Molecule: ribosomal RNA, 400 nt
Filed under: uncultured bacterium
Lineage: Bacteria
Description: bacterial SSU rRNA
Rfam family: Bacterial small subunit ribosomal RNA
Source: RNAcentral
GGGGAAUAUUGCACAAUGGGCGAAAGCCUGAUGCAGCAACGCCGCGUGAGUGAAGAAGGUUUUCGGAUUGUAAAGCUCUGUCUUCUGGGACGAUAAUGACGGUACCAGAGGAGGAAGCCACGGCUAACUACGUGCCAGCAGCCGCGGUAAUACGUAGGUGGCAAGCGUUGUCCGGAUUUACUGGGCGUAAAGGAUGUGUAGGCGGAUAUUUAAGUGAGAUGUGAAAUCCCCGGGCUUAACUUGGGCAGUGCAUUUCAAACUGGAUGUCUGGAGUGCAGGAGAGGAGAACGGAAUUCCUAGUGUAGCGGUGAAAUGCGUAGAGAUUAGGAAGAACACCAGUGGCGAAGGCGGUUCUCUGGACUGUAACUGACGCUGAGGCACGAAAGCGUGGGUAGCAAAC